UUUGUUUGUUUGUUUAAGAAAAAGACUACUUGAAAGAAAAAAUAUAUACCUGGUAUUAUAGAUAGAGUAUAUACCUGAUAUUAAGGAUAGACCUGAAAGUAAGGCCACCUUUGUGGCUCUGUUAUUUGUGCCCUGCAUGAUCACAUGAAAAAACAAAAAAAAAAUGUUACUCAUGAAGAAGAAAAACACUACUAGAAAUAACAGUAAAACAGACAAAAGUGGGGAAAAGAAAAUCAGUGGAGCUGAAUCAGCUGAGAAAUAAGGAUUUCAGACUAAGAUGUGAGAAGCAUCUUUGUUUUGUCUACGAUUUGUUCUUGCUGAUUGUCAUUCACUUGCUGCGAUGGUGCUCAGGUUAUGCCUGAUUUUGAAUCAAUAUAUCAAUAUAGCAAGUGUCUAUUCCAGGUAGGAGUUUACCCUGCCCUUUAUGGGCUGUCAGUAGUGCUUUCUGCAGCUCUACCCAACACUCCAGCCAACAACCUAGUAACUAUUCACUCCCUUUAUCACAAACUAAUGGAAAUAGACCAGUUCCUGAGUAGCUCUCACCUGCAGCAUUCCCUUCUAGCAUAAGACACGUUUCAGUUACCAAAUAAUUAAAAAGACAACACUAUUGCCUAUAUAGUUCAUGAUAUUUCAAGACAGCUUUUUCCAGAAAUCAUUUUACCUGUAGGAAAUUUCAGACUUAUGUAGUAUUCUGCAAAGGGGACAGAAUGGCAAGUCUGAAGAGUACGUAUUCAGAGAGUUUUAUUUUUCCUUCUGUUGAGUAGUUUAGAAUUUGCGCUGCACUCAAUGAAAAGCGUAUGCCUACACAUCCAGAAAAGGAGGCCUUUAGCUUAUCGUGCCCAUCAGAAAUGCUCAACCUUUAUCACAAAUCUUCAACAAGAGGAACAGGAGUAGAUGCAAAAUCAAGAAAUGCUGGCACUACAGGGAGAGGAUUAUGCAGAAUUCUGCAGCCACUUGGAGUAAUGCAUACGCUUAAUCAUUAAGCCUUUCAGUUGUUUAAUUUUCAGCUAGUAUUUAUAAUGCACCUAUUCAGCAGAAGGAUUUGGCCUUAAGUCAGAAAGAUGAGAUAAACAGGAUGACCAUUAAAACACAAAAACAUGCGCUAUCACCGACUGUGUGAAGAUCAACAUCAGAUUAAAUCCAGUUCAGUGAGUAGUGUUUAUGCAUCUCUCAGCCAGACAGGAUGUUCUACUGAUGUUUCAGGCUGGGCUCCUGCUGAGCAGUGUGAAGCACAGGGAUUGCAUCUCACUGUGCAAGUAAGUCGGUCACAUGUUCAAAGAUACAAAGAAGAGACUUGUGUUCUGUGGGGAGCACUGGGAGGGUCAAACCAUUGUUUUAGCAUUUGAUAGUAUCUGCAGUAAAAGUUCCUAAAGGGCUAUUAUUUGUCGAAAUAUAGGUCCCCUCCUACUUCACAAAUAGCAAGAGUGCUUUCGGUUUUUGUCAUUUCUAAAGAAAAUGAGUAGUAACAGAGGUGGAAAGAAUAGCCUGGCAUCUAACUAAUGAAGCUGAGAGUAGGCAGUGGUUCUGAUUCUCACUCUUAUGUUCAUCUAAAACAACUUAAAAAGACUAUUUUCCUCUCUGAGUUCACCUAAAACAUACAUUACGUUUCAGGUCUCAGGGACCUGAGACACAACACACAUAAAAUUAACUUUGUUUUGAGUUUUUUCCUUCAGUGAUGGGACUUGGCAGGCUGUUAUCUGGGACAGGUAAAGCUGCUCUUAUUGAAGGUAGUUAGGUGAAAGUAAGUAGUAGUCAUUAACUUAUAAAAGCCCUCUGCCACCUGCAAAUCUCCAGUUGCAUGAAGCCAUGAAUUUGAUUGAAGUCUUUCAGCAUUAAAGUGCUUUGUUCUGCCUCCUAACCAGCUUCACUGUGAGCAUCUGAUCAGAGCUGGUCAUCUACCUACAGUUUGUAAGAGGGAAAAGGAAAUUCCAGGGGACAAUUCAUAGGAAUCUACUUUAAACAUUAACAUUUAUGAUGAGGUAAGUGAUAUUAAAAGAGACCAGAUGAAUAGCUUAGGUGUAGGUAUGAGAACUCUAGGCAUCUAAGAUUUGGUAGAGUUAAUCCCACCUUCAGAUACCAAGUGGAAGAUCAUCUGAAGAUAACUUUUAUGCAGAUUCCAAAAGUGUAGUUUGUUUUGAUCCCAUCGCAAAAUGAGGAAGCAUGAAGAAUACAUUGUCCUCACCUGAUCAUUCACCUUUUCCUUGGCAGUGAAAUAACCAACACUGUUGGCAACAUUCUCAUUCAGCUUCAAAGUUAACGUCUCUUUCAAAUGAGUAGGAACUGCUUCAAGCCAUUGUUUUAGGCUGUCUUCAGGCUUGGUUUGAUACCACUAUGCAGGUCGAGUAUUUAAAACUUCACCCAUUAUCAUAGGAUCUAAGCACCUCAAAGUUCCUUCCUUUGCUUACAUACAUUUGAUAUCUUUCAGACCACCUUUGCAAUCUCAAGAACUCAAUUUUGCUUUAAACAAGAGUAGGGAGCAUCAGAAAAGCAAAUAUUUUAUCAAAUAAAUCUGAUCUGACUGUGGUUUAGCAGCAGAUUUUGUUUGCCUGCUCAGUUGCUGCCUCUGCCAAUACUCUGCAGCAAGCAACCAAGAACAGAAGUGACACUGAUCAUGAUUGCUUGCUUGUUAAGAUUUUCCACGUCUAUUCCAAGUAAAUGUACUUUGUUUAUCACAGUUUUCUUUCUGUCACCUUGAAAGUGCUUUUGUAUGCAAGGCUGGAACAAGGGUCAGCAGAUGUUGUGGCCUCGUUUCAAGGUGGGUUGAUUUCUGAUCUCUGGGUAGACAUCAAUUUGUUGCCAUUGUGUCCUGUCUUAUCCUCGGGCGUUUCAGAGCCUCCCUGCUGCAGACAAAACGAGUGUCACUACCUCUGAAUUUCUGCUGUAUAUUGCCAGUGCCCAUAGCUAUUUCUUUGUCCAUAGAGCACUGAGCUCAUCCCUGCCUACUGUGGUCUCAAUUCCCAGCCUCCUCAGGUUUCUCAGCUGGUUGUCUUUUCCUCCACUACCUUUUUCAAGAGGUAUCAGCAUCAGAAUGACAUCCAAAACAAAGUCUUGCUGGCAUGUAUCAGCUGGAGUCUAGCCAGCAAUUUCCUUGGUCAGUUAAAUACUCUCACUCCUCCCUCCUGGGUUGAAUUUAUAGCUACUAACAAGAAGUUGCAAAUAAAAUCCUUAGUCCAAUUUUGCACAUAUUUUUCCCUUUGACUCGCUCUCUGUGGGUUCACAAGUGAACAUUUACAGCGCUUUUACUGGCAACACUUCUCUUUGUGUCUUCCUGUGGCAUCAGAUCCUUUUACCCACAGGACGAUCUGUUCCAAACAAAUGCAGGUGGUCAGGAAUUUCUGUUUCCUGGCAGUGUUCAACAGCUGCAGAAACCUUACACUUCAGUACACCCAAAGAACAGACAUUUUUAAUGUUUCUUAAUUUACAUCUCUUGCUUUGGUUGGACUAAAGACUUGCUUUCUCCUCUCUUUCCAUUCCUACCUUUUCCUCCCUCAACACAUUUCCAGAGCUUCUUAAUUUACUUUUUCCUGCAGAGAGCUCCACAAACCCUUCCAAUUUUCAGGUAGUCCAGAAAAUUAAGGAAUUCUAUUAGCCUAUACAUUUCUUCCUGUAUCAGUUCAUAUCCAGAAGGUGACAAUACUGUAACCUCUGAAGCUAUGAUUAACAUUCAUAGAAUCAUAGAACCACAAGGUUGGAAAGGACCUAAAAGAUCAUCUAGUCCAACCGUCCUCCCUUUACCAUACCUACAGGAAAUCCCUAAACCAUAUCUCCUAGCUCCCCAUCCACGCGCUUCUUGAACACUGGCAGGGAUGGCGACUCCACCACCUCCCUGGGCAACUGAAUAUUGGAGGGGUCUAAAUUCUAUCCCAGGCUAUUUUUCCCAGCCAUCCCCUUUCUUGACUAGAUGGAACCCGGAAAUCUCUGGAAGGGACAGAAGUCUGUGUGAGGAAGGCAGUACAAAGAACAGGCCAAUCUGAAACCGCAGCAGUCUCCAACAGAUCAACAGUUCAGAAAGUGUAUAAGAAAGCCAUGUAAUGUCUAAUCAUUUUUAGGACCCAAGUGGUACGCAACAGCAAAUUAACCAGCAGGCAGCAAUUCGAGGGAAGAAAUAUUUCAUACAUGCAAGCAUAGGAAGGUUUUAAGAGUUUCAUAAACUGCAUUCCAAGAGCUUACACUGAAAAUGGAUUCCUGUCCUACUACCUUGUUAGACAACGAAAACAGAGAAAGAACAACAUGUCCUCACCUUUCAGGCCUCUAAAAUGCAGCUGCCAUUUUUAUCUUCUGAAUAAAUUCUUGCACUUCUUAUUUUAAGCUGGCUACAAUGUUUGCCCAACACGAUGACAGUAAAUCACCCUUGGUUUUUAUUCCUACAAAGAAACUGCUGUAAGAUGAUACUCCUAACACAAACAAUCCCUCUAGGUAGUACAAAAGCCAGUGAAAGCUUGGUUGUUCACCAGCAUCACAUCGCUUGGGCAACAACAAGCUGCUUGCUAUCUAAUAUUCCCACUGGGAUCUCAGCAGAUCUAAUACAGUAACAAGCUACUUGCUGUUGUUAAAGGAGUUUUUCCUUAGAAAUAAAGUCUGGGCUUAAAAGCACUAUCUUGUGCAGGAAUAAAAUGAAUCUGUUCUUCCCUAACAGUUAAGAGAAGUCAAAUUAUCAGCCAAGGUAUUUUAAUUGGUUACCAAUACUUUCACAUCUUCAUACAACUUAACCUUACUCUUUAUCUAUUGUCUUGCAUUUAGGUUCCUCACAGAAGUCAAUAGAACAUUAGGACCCAGAGUACUUGGAAUAUAUUCAAGAUGAAAAACUGGAUGACAAUCUGAAUACAGUUAACAACAGAAAGUUACUGCAUGCAAAUGAACAGGAGAAAUGACAGGCAGAUAUAAAAAAAAAAAAGAGGUCAGGGAAUACUUGCCAGUUAUUUGGCAACUAUCUAACGAUGUAUGUCUUCUAUUUAGAGUACCAAGUUGCUUGAUAAUGGGGUAGAUGAGCACACCUGGAUGCGAAUCACCAGCACUGUGCAGAUGUCUGAACAAGAUACAUCUUAGAAAACAACACAGGUACAUCCUGCAAUGUAAAUACUCAUUUACACAAACAUGCAUUAUUUAAACUCAUUAAUCUUCAUGUUCAAUGGUCACCCAACGUCAAAGGUCCAUAAGCUCAGUAUUAGUCUUUCAUAUGCCCUAGGUCCAGUCAGCUGGACUGAAAAGAUGGAAGUGUUCUCUUCCGCUCCCUGUAAGUCUGACUGUAGAUGAACCAUCUUGCUUUAAGGAAUCAAAAGAGCAAGUGGGGGAAAAAAAACAAAAAAAUCUAAGGCCACUUUCUAAAGAGCAAUGAGAUUCUGUCUGCUUCCCUAGAAAAAGGGAGUCCAAUCAUUAUUUACAUAAAAGGAAGAUCUUACAAAGAUGCAAGAUUAUGAAACAGUACAACCCAAGAACGGAACUGGAAGAACGUGCCUGCUCUUCUCAGGCCAGUUUUGCCAUUCUAUUUAAGCUUAUAGAAGUGAUAUACUUUUAAGAAAGCUAUUAAGAAGCAUAGAAAACCUA
Molecule: non-coding RNA, 5544 nt
Organism: Coturnix japonica (Japanese quail)
Lineage: Eukaryota; Metazoa; Chordata; Aves; Galliformes; Phasianidae
Source: RefSeq, a predicted model, not a curated record